RNAcentral lists this transfer RNA (77 nucleotides) under Cyanoptyche gloeocystis. It matches the Rfam family "tRNA", at positions 5 to 66 of the family's 71-position model. From Rfam's summary of the family: Transfer RNA (tRNA) molecules are approximately 80 nucleotides in length. Their secondary structure includes four short double-helical elements and three loops (D, anti-codon, and T loops). The record is from RNAcentral. Lineage: Eukaryota; Glaucocystophyceae.
UCGGUGCCCGAGUGGUUAAUGGGGACGGAUUGUAAAUCCGUUGGCUAUGCCUACGCUGGUUCAAAUCCAGCCCGGCC